RNAcentral lists this ribosomal RNA (439 nucleotides) under Austinixa aidae. RNAcentral's name for it is "partial large subunit ribosomal RNA". It matches the Rfam family "Bacterial large subunit ribosomal RNA", at positions 2049 to 2651 of the family's 2925-position model. The record is from RNAcentral. Lineage: Eukaryota; Metazoa; Arthropoda; Malacostraca; Decapoda; Pinnotheridae.
AACUUUUAAGUGAAAAGGCUUAAAUAUUUUAAGAAGACGAUAAGACCCUAUAAAGCUUUAUAAGAAGUUUAUAUUUAGUUAAAAUAAAUAAUAAAAUCUUAAUAUUUACUCUUAUUUUAUUGGGGAGAUAAAAUUAUAAUUUAAUAUAACUGAGUUUUAUUAAUACAAAAAUAAAUGUUUAUUAGUAGAUAAAAGAUCCCUUCUAGGGAUUUUAAGUUUAAGUUACUUUAGGGAUAACAGCGUUAUUUCUUUUGAGAGUUCGUAUCGAAAAAGAAGAUUGCGACCUCGAUGUUGAAUUAAAAUUUCUAGAUUAUUGCAGAAGUAAUCUUAGAAGGUCUGUUCGACCUUUAAAUUUUUACAUGAUUUGAGUUCAGACCGGCGUGAGCCAGGUCGGUUUCUAUCUUUUAAUAAGUAAUAAUUAUUUUAGUACGAAAGGAUU